This 1149-nucleotide long non-coding RNA is filed under the name Canis lupus familiaris (dog). Its description in RNAcentral is "lncRNA (ENSCAFG00845011951.1)". The record is from RNAcentral. Lineage: Eukaryota; Metazoa; Chordata; Mammalia; Carnivora; Canidae.
AUGCCUCCUGCACCCCUGAGCCCCCGUGGGCCCCCCUCAGGGGCAGGAGCCCUCUCCCACCACAGCUGGAGGCGGCUCCUCGUGCGGCUUCGUCCUCCCCAAGCACGUCUCACCGACGCGAUGUGGCCACGGUGGCCUGGGGGCCUUGUGUCUGCUCCCGCGUGUCGUUCACAGGCACGGAGGCCCAGCAGCCCGGCGGCAGCAGAGCUCGGGGCGCCCCGCGUGGGGCCGUGGGAGCCCAGGGCAGGACGGCCUCUGCUCCUGCCCCACUGGCCUCGUCCCAGGAGGGUCUCGCACACGAGAGGAGCAGGGGGCAGAAAGGGCUCAGCAGCAGGAAGCUCCUGCGAGCCACUAGGGCUGUCAUCCAGGAUGCGGGGGGAGCACGGAGGCAGGGACACCGCAGGCGUCACCCAGGUUGCGGCCCCGAACACGCCCACUCCAGGCCCCAAGGGACCCCGCUGCCACCUGUGCACUCUCACUAGGGCCCAACUGUGUCCCCUGCAAAGCUGUGUUGAAGCUUUAGCCCCCGGUGUGACGGAGGGGCCGCUGCGGGUGGAUGCGGCUAAGCGACGUGCGACAGGGGCUCCGACCCAACAGGGCUGCGGUCUUUUUUUUUUUUUUUUAAUAUUUUACUUAUUCCUGAGACAGACGCAGGCUGAGGGAGAAGCAGGCUCCCUGUGGGGCCCCCGGGCCAGUGGAGGCUGGCUGGCUGAGGCCUCCUCCCGCACCGACCUCCCCCUGCAGCCUCCAGGGCCGUCAGGAAACAGAAAUCUGUCCUUUAAGCCAUUUAACCUGGGAUAUUCCGUGAUGGCACAGAGCUGCCCGGGCCCUCCGCCCUCACCUCAAGCAAGCACCCAUCACUCACCCACCUGGCUCGGGACUGGGGGCCGUUCUCCCAGAGGCCGGGCCCCCCCCAGCCCCCACAGCUCGCCCACCGCGAGCAGCGCCCCGCCGACUGCUCCACGUCUCGGGUACAGUGCAGCCUCCAGGAGGGCCCCCACGGGACCCAACUUAAACGGACAGCCCAGCGCUUUAUCCCGCCUCCAUGCCUGGGACCCUGCUCUAUUUCUUUUCUUUCUUUUUCUUCCUAAGAUUUAUGAGAGAGACAGAGAAACACUGGGGGGGGGGGGGGGGCGGAGAGCAAGGUAG